This 428-nucleotide ribosomal RNA is filed under the name uncultured bacterium. Its description in RNAcentral is "bacterial SSU rRNA". It matches the Rfam family "Bacterial small subunit ribosomal RNA", at positions 357 to 777 of the family's 1533-position model. The record is from RNAcentral.
GGGAAUAUUGCACAAUGGGCGCAAGCCUGAUGCAGCCAUGCCGCGUGAAUGAAGAAGGCCUUCGGGUUGUAAAAUUCUGUUAUAAGGGAAGAAAGGUGAUAGGAGGAACUGACUAUCAAUUGACGGUACCUUAUGAGAAAGCCACGGCUAACUCCGUGCCAGCAGCCGCGGUAAUACGGAGGGUGCAAGCGUUACUCGGAAUUACUGGGCGUAAAGCGCACGCAGGCGGUUUGUUAAGUCAGAUGUGAAAUCCCCGGGCUCAACCUGGGAACUGCAUCUGAUACUGGCAAGCUUGAGUCUCGUAGAGGGGGGUAGAAUUCCAGGUGUAGCGGUGAAAUGCGUAGAGAUCUGGAGGAAUACCGGUGGCGAAGGCGGCCCCCUGGACGAAGACUGACGCUCAGGUGCGAAAGCGUGGGGAGCAAACAGGG